AGUGAACGCUGGCGGCAGGCCUAACACAUGCAAGUCGAACGGCAGCACAGUAAGCGCUUGCUCUUACGGUUGGCGAGUGGCGGACGGGUGAGGCAUACAUCGGAUUCUACUUUUUCUUGGGUGACAACGUAGGGAAACUUACGCUAAUACCGCAUACGAUCUACGGGUUAAAGCAGUGGUUCUUCGGACCUUUCGCGUCUCUAUUAGCUGAUGUCGGAUUAGCUAGUUGGCGGGGUAAAGGCCCACCAAGGCGACGAUCCGUAGCUGGUCUGAGAGGAUGAUCAGCCACACUGGAACUGAGACACGGUCCAGACUCCUACGGGAGGCAGCAGUGGGGAAUAUUGGGCAAUGGGCGCAAGCCUGAUCCAGCAAUACCGCGUGGGUGAAGAAGGCCUUCGGGUUGUAAAGCCCUUUUGUUGGGAAAGAAAAGAAGCAGGUUAAUACCCCGCUGUUCUGACGGUACCCAAAGAAUAAGCACCGGCUAACUUCGUG
This 492-nucleotide ribosomal RNA is filed under the name uncultured bacterium. Its description in RNAcentral is "partial 16S ribosomal RNA". It matches the Rfam family "Bacterial small subunit ribosomal RNA", at positions 29 to 507 of the family's 1533-position model. The record is from RNAcentral.